RNAcentral lists this ribosomal RNA (338 nucleotides) under uncultured eukaryote. RNAcentral describes it as "partial 18S ribosomal RNA". It matches the Rfam family "Eukaryotic small subunit ribosomal RNA", at positions 1470 to 1797 of the family's 1831-position model. The record is from RNAcentral.
CCCUUAGAUGUUCUGGGCCGCACGCGCGCUACACUGACGGAGGCAGCGAGCAUGUCCUUCGCCGAGAGGUGUGGGGAAUCUUGUGAGUCUCCGUCGUGCUGGGGAUAGAUGGUUGCAAUUGUCGAUCUUGAACGAGGAAUUCCCAGUAAGCGCGAGUCAUCAGCUCGCGUUGAUUACGUCCCUGCCCUUUGUACACACCGCCCGUCGCUACUACCGAUUGGAUGGUUUAGUGAGACCCUCGGAUCGGUCCCGACUCGGGGUGGGCUUCUGCCCCGGUCGUGGUUUCGCCGAGAAGACGGUCAAACUUGACUAUCUAGAGGAAGUAAAAGUCGUAACAA